Non-coding RNA from Streptococcus iniae, 195 nucleotides. Lineage: Bacteria; Bacillati; Bacillota; Bacilli; Lactobacillales; Streptococcaceae. The record is from Rfam.
UAAUUGCUGUGGCAUACGAGUUCACACUUAAGUGUUGACCGACUAUUUCUUUGUAUUUUCGGGAAACAAAGUUCUCUUCUAGUCUGCAAGCCGUUACACGCGGAAGCAACUUCAAGAAGAGGCGCGUUACCCACCUGCUUAUGUUGUGCGGGAUCAAUACAAACAGUGAACCACCGGUGCCAAUACAGCUUUCUU